Salmo salar (Atlantic salmon) is the source of this 69-nucleotide non-coding RNA. Lineage: Eukaryota; Metazoa; Chordata; Actinopteri; Salmoniformes; Salmonidae. The record is from Rfam.
UGGCUCAGUUGGUAGAGCAUGGUGUUUGCAAUGUGUUUGCAAUGCCAGGGUUGUGGGUUCGAUUCCCAC